CGGCCGCGUCGACUUAACACAUGCAAGUCGAACGAUGAAGCCCAGCUUGCUGGGUGGAUUAGUGGCGAACGGGUGAGUAACACGUGAGUAACCUGCCCUUAACUCUGGGAUAAGCCUGGGAAACUGGGUCUAAUACCGGAUAGGAGCGCCUACCGCAUGGUGGGUGUUGGAAAGAUUUAUCGGUUUUGGAUGGACUCGCGGCCUAUCAGCUUGUUGGUGGGGUAAUGGCUCACCAAGGCGACGACGGGUAGCCGGCCUGAGAGGGUGACCGGCCACACUGGGACUGAGACACGGCCCAGACUCCUACGGGAGGCAGCAGUGGGGAAUAUUGCACAAUGGGCGAAAGCCUGAUGCAGCGACGCCGCGUGAGGGAUGACGGCCUUCGGGUUGUAAACCUCUUUCAGUAGGGAAGAAGCGAAAGUGACGGUACCUGCAGAAGAAGCACCGGCUAACUACGUGCCAGCAGCCGCGGUAAUAC
This 478-nucleotide ribosomal RNA is filed under the name uncultured bacterium. Its description in RNAcentral is "bacterial SSU rRNA". It matches the Rfam family "Bacterial small subunit ribosomal RNA", at positions 38 to 526 of the family's 1533-position model. The record is from RNAcentral.